Molecule: long non-coding RNA, 394 nt
Organism: Ctenocephalides felis (cat flea)
Lineage: Eukaryota; Metazoa; Arthropoda; Insecta; Siphonaptera; Pulicidae
Exons: 3
Source: RefSeq, a predicted model, not a curated record
CCUGGGCAAGAAUUGUAAAGCUGUGAACACGACCAUACUGAAUCCGCACGUGCACCUCCUGGGCGACGACGCCGCUUGCAUCGCCUAUGUGCGACUGACGCAGUACAUCGAUAAACAAGGGCAAGCGCACAGCCAACAGUCGGAAGAAACGCGAGUGUGGCAUAAACGUGACAGUAAAUGGCAGAACGUACAUUUUCACCGCAGCGGAACGGGAUCCUCCGGAACGGGACAGUUUGACUAUGCCCAUAAGUAAACUCCGGUUGCUACCAUAAGGUUUCGAUGUUGAAUCCCAGGUUGUGUGUAACCUGAAAGGAAACAGUGGUGAUGUCUAUUUUCACUGGAUAAUAUAGAUCAAUAGUUUGCAAGUAAAAAUAGCAGGCAAUUAGAGGAAGAC